Molecule: ribosomal RNA, 253 nt
Filed under: uncultured bacterium
Lineage: Bacteria
Description: partial 16S ribosomal RNA
Rfam family: Bacterial small subunit ribosomal RNA
Source: RNAcentral
GACGGAGGGCGCAAGCGUUGUUCCGAAUCACUGGGCGUAAAGCGCGUGUAGGCGGCUUGGCAAGUCGGGUGUGAAAGCCCGGAGCUCAACCCCGGAACUGCAUUCGAAACUGCCUCGCUCGAGUCCCGGAGAGGGUGGUGGAAUUCCCGGUGUAGAGGUGAAAUUCGUAGCUAGCGGGAGGAACACCAGUGGCGAAGGGGGCCACCGGGACGGUGACUGACGCUGAGACGCGAAAGCGGGGGGAGCAAACAGG